Molecule: long non-coding RNA, 475 nt
Organism: Pistacia vera
Lineage: Eukaryota; Viridiplantae; Streptophyta; Magnoliopsida; Sapindales; Anacardiaceae
Exons: 3
Source: RefSeq, a predicted model, not a curated record
GAGCAGGGUCUUUCCUUUGCCUCAAACUUUUGAGAAUUCAAAACGAUUUUCAGUUCACUUGCUUCCAUAACCUGUAAGGAUGCAGCAAAUUCGGCUACCAAAGAUCAUGAAUAAACAACAAAAGAGUUGAUUUAGUGUUGCAAAGAAGAGAAGCAGAAAACUGCAAGAGCCAAGGGAAAGAAGACAUUUCAUGAUAGCUGGUGGAGCUUCUGAUUGAAUGUCACCACCGUCAAGGAAUGGUGGAAAGCACUCAAUAAGGUUAUCCUUACCAUUGUCGUUGGACGUCGUGCCUUCGAAACUGAUGCAGUCGGCAGUUAUAGCUGGGUGGAUGAGUAGUCAUUGUGUUAUUUUGUGGUGGGUGUCUCCAUACCCAUUAAGAUUAUUUGCUUUUGCUUUUCAUGACUGGUCUUUAUGAAUUCCUUAAAACUCUGUUUGAUCAGCAAAUUUGAUUUCAUGUUUUUCUUAAUUAAUGCCA